AUACGGAGGAUCCGAGCGUUAUCCGGAUUUAUUGGGUUUAAAGGGUGCGCAGGCGGCCAUUUAAGUCAGCGGUUAAAUCGUGGGGCUCAACCCCAUUCUGCCGUUGAUACUGGGUGGCUUGAUUGCGGUCGAGGUUGGCGGAAUUCGUUGCGUAGCGGUGAAAUGCAUAGAUAUGACGAAGAACACCGAUUGCGUAGGCAGCUGACCAGACCGCAAAUGACGCUCAUGCACGAAAGUGCGGGGAUCGAACAGGAUUAGAUACCCUGGUAGUCCGCACAGUAAACGAUGAAUACUUGUUUUCGGCGAUAUAAUGUCGGAGGCAAAGCGAAAGCGAUAAGUAUUCCACCUGGGGAGUACGCCGGCAACGGUGAAACUCAAAUGAAUUGGCGGGG
Molecule: ribosomal RNA, 392 nt
Filed under: uncultured bacterium
Lineage: Bacteria
Description: partial 16S ribosomal RNA
Rfam family: Bacterial small subunit ribosomal RNA
Source: RNAcentral